This 93-nucleotide transfer RNA is filed under the name Lactobacillus amylolyticus. RNAcentral describes it as "tRNA-Ser". It matches the Rfam family "tRNA". Rfam says of the family: Transfer RNA (tRNA) molecules are approximately 80 nucleotides in length. Their secondary structure includes four short double-helical elements and three loops (D, anti-codon, and T loops). The record is from RNAcentral. RNAcentral also lists the same sequence under 1 other name. Lineage: Bacteria; Bacillati; Bacillota; Bacilli; Lactobacillales; Lactobacillaceae.
GGAGAGUUGGCAGAGUGGUAAUGCACCGGACUCGAAAUCCGGCGAACCAGGUUUAUCCCUGGCGCGCAGGUUCAAAUCCUGUACUCUCCUCCA